RNAcentral lists this ribosomal RNA (484 nucleotides) under uncultured bacterium. Its description in RNAcentral is "partial 16S ribosomal RNA". It matches the Rfam family "Bacterial small subunit ribosomal RNA", at positions 29 to 507 of the family's 1533-position model. The record is from RNAcentral.
AUUGAACGCUAGCGGGAUGCUUUACACAUGCAAGUCGAACGGCAGCGCGGACUUCGGUCUGGCGGCGAGUGGCGAACGGGUGAGUAAUGUAUCGGAACGUGCCCAGUAGCGGGGGAUAACUACGCGAAAGCGUAGCUAAUACCCCAUACGCCCUACGGGGGCCAGCAGGGGAUCGUAAGACCUUGCACUAUUGGAGCGGGCGAUAACUGAUUCGCUAGUUGGUGAGGUAACGGGUCACCAAGGCGGGGAGCCCAAGCUGGGUUGAGAGGACGGCCCGCUAGACUGUGUGUGAGGAACGGCACAGACUCCGACAGGGGGCAGCAGUGGGGAAUUUUGGACGAUGGGGGCAUCCCUGAUCUAGCCAUCCCGCGGAUGCGAUGAAGCACUUCGGGUUGGAAAGCGCUGUUGGCAUGAAAGAAGUGACGCGGGCUUAUACCCCGUGGAACUGACGGUACCUGCAGAAUAAGCACCGGCUAACUACGUG